CAAAUUGCCGUUGUCAAGAAGC
RNAcentral lists this non-coding RNA (22 nucleotides) under Arabidopsis thaliana (thale cress). The record is from RNAcentral. Lineage: Eukaryota; Viridiplantae; Streptophyta; Magnoliopsida; Brassicales; Brassicaceae.